UUUGUUUUAGCAGAAAAAUGCCAGUUGUGCAGCAAGAAUCCUAAUUUCCAGGUCCUACUGCAUACAAGUCCAGUGUCCUGAAACACCCCUAGGCCUGCUACAUAUAGGGCAGCCGAGAGGCCCAUUCUUACUCUGAAGGAGCUGCAAAAAUCCACAGCUAAGAUGUUGUGUGUCAAGGGAGAGAGACAUAAGGGUGUCUGCAGAUGUCACAGAAGUCAAAACCAAGAACAAGAACAGAUUCAGCUUCACGUUGUUCCUCUCAUGUGGAUUACUACAUGCUGUCUCAACUGAAUUUUUAAUGCCAGCUGGUAUUUUAAAGGUGCCCCAAACACUCAAAGAAACACAUGCAUAAAUUUGCAUGAACAUGUUCUUGAUUGCAUUAUGAUACUUAGUAUUUUCUACCAAGAUUACCAUGCAUUUUUGUACCAUGCAACUUUCAUGUAAUAGGAUGACAGAGGAUUGUAGAGACAGGAUGCAAACACUAACAUUUUCUUUGCUUUUACACCAACACAGCUACUUUGUACAAAUUCAGCUGAUAAAAAGCAACGGCAUCACUCCGGCUUCUAUCAACCAAUAAUAAAAUGUGGCUCUUAAGUUUCUAAAUACUUAAUUAUGCUUACCAGCAAAUACCAGUCAUUUAUCUUUGUUAGUACUUUAGAAUUUGUCGCGUUUUAUUUUAGUAGUCUACUGAAAUUAUAUUUUUAACUGUAAAAUGCCACUGUUGCUUGCAGCAACAUUAGCUAAUAUUGGACAUCAAUAAAUAUCAGAAAUCUGUGCUCAAGUAAUACCUUCACUGUAAGAUUUUCAUCGGGGUUAGCAUGAGACUCCUUCGCUAAAAGACAGCAAAUAACCUGACCCUUAUAUCCCUGUCACGCUAUUAAGUAUCUACCUAGUGCUUCAAUGGUAAAGGAAAACACAUGCUAAAUAAUGCUCCAAUAUCGCCUUACUAUGAAUCUGAUACUGUAGCAUGCACAAUUUGAUCAUUAGCUGGGUCAGGCUGCCACAGUUUUUCUGGAUAUCUUGAAACAUCCAUUGCAUAAGCGUCACCACCUAAAGAUGGCACGUAUACUGCAAUUUACUCCGCUGCCAGAACAAUUACAUAAGCGCUACUCAGAUUUGAGAGCAAUGAUCUGAUAACAUUACUUAAUCUCAUGUUAUGUUAUUCAGAUGCUCUGUCUGCACUGAUGAAGGAUAUGGUGAUCUCAUUACAAAAGUAAC
Long non-coding RNA from Girardinichthys multiradiatus, 1218 nucleotides. RefSeq lists it as uncharacterized. The transcript is spliced from 3 exons. NCBI's taxonomy places the organism in Eukaryota, Metazoa, Chordata, Actinopteri, Cyprinodontiformes, Goodeidae. The record is from RefSeq and is a predicted model, not a curated record.